UACGUAGGUGGCUAGCGUUGUCCGGAUUUACUGGGCGUAAAGAGCGCGCAGGCGGUCGUUCAAGUCGAGUGUGAAAGCCCCCGGCUCAACUGGGGAGGGUCACUCGAUACUGAUCGACUCGAAGGCAGAAGAGGGAAGCGGAAUUCCCGGUGUAGCGGUGAAAUGCGCAGAGAUCGGGAGGAACACCCGUAGCGAAGGCGGCGCUCUGGGCCGGUACUGACGCUGAGGAGCGAAAGCGUGGGGAGCAAACAGG
This 253-nucleotide ribosomal RNA is filed under the name uncultured bacterium. Its description in RNAcentral is "partial 16S ribosomal RNA". It matches the Rfam family "Bacterial small subunit ribosomal RNA", at positions 524 to 776 of the family's 1533-position model. The record is from RNAcentral.